CUUCAGGCUGACGAGUCCCAAAUAGGACUGAACACGUGUCCUGAAU
Non-coding RNA from Schistosoma margrebowiei, 46 nucleotides. The record is from Rfam. NCBI's taxonomy places the organism in Eukaryota, Metazoa, Platyhelminthes, Trematoda, Strigeidida, Schistosomatidae.